UACGGGGGGUGCAAGCGUUGCUCGGAAUCACUGGGCGUAAAGCGUCCGCAGGCGGCUUUGUAAGUCGGUUGUGAAAGCCCAGGGCUCAACCCUGGAACUGCAUUCGAGACUGCAAGGCUUGAGUACGGGAGAGGGAAGUGGAAUUCCUGGUGUAGAGGUGAAAUUCGUAGAUAUCAGGAGGAACACCGGUGGCGAAAGCGGCUUCCUGGCCCGAUACUGACGCUCAUGGACGAAAGCGUGGGGAGCAAACAGG
Molecule: ribosomal RNA, 253 nt
Filed under: uncultured Desulfomonile sp.
Lineage: Bacteria; Pseudomonadati; Thermodesulfobacteriota; Desulfomonilia; Desulfomonilales; Desulfomonilaceae
Description: partial 16S ribosomal RNA
Rfam family: Bacterial small subunit ribosomal RNA
Source: RNAcentral